UAGAUCAGUCGUACACGGUUUCCGUAGGUGAACCUGCGGAAGGAUCAUUCA
RNAcentral lists this ribosomal RNA (51 nucleotides) under Eimeria dispersa. Its description in RNAcentral is "partial 18S ribosomal RNA". The record is from RNAcentral. Lineage: Eukaryota; Apicomplexa; Conoidasida; Eucoccidiorida; Eimeriidae.